Molecule: ribosomal RNA, 508 nt
Filed under: uncultured bacterium
Lineage: Bacteria
Description: partial 16S ribosomal RNA
Rfam family: Bacterial small subunit ribosomal RNA
Source: RNAcentral
GACGAACGCUGGCGGCGUGCCUAAUACAUGCAAGUCGAACGCUUCUUUCAUCAGGAGUGCUUGCACUCAAUAGGAGCGAGGGGUGGCGGACGGGUGGGAAACCCGUGGGAAAACUACCCAUCAGAGUGGGAUAACACGUGCAAACAGGUGCUAAUACCGCAUAACAGUUUAUGCAGCAUGGAAAGAGGGUGUAGGGCGCUUUUGGGUGUGGAUGAUGGCUGGAUCCGCGCUGCAUUAGCUAGUUGGUGAGGUAACGGCUCACCAAGGCAACGAUGCGUAGCCGACCUGAGAGGGUGAUCGGCCACACUGGGACUGAGACACGGCCCAGACUCCUACGGGAGGCAGCAGUAGGGAAUCUUCGGCAAUGGACGAAAGUCUGACCGAGCGACGCCGCGUGAGUGAUGAAGGUCUUCGGAUCGUAAAACUCUGUUAUUAGGGAAGAACAAGUGCGUUAGUAACUAUGCACCCCCUGACGGUACCUAACCAGAAAGCCACGGCUAACUACGUG